Molecule: long non-coding RNA, 325 nt
Filed under: Elaeis guineensis (African oil palm)
Lineage: Eukaryota; Viridiplantae; Streptophyta; Magnoliopsida; Arecales; Arecaceae
Description: long non-coding RNA (EGUI_LNC075289)
Source: RNAcentral
AGAAAUAAGAGAAAAAAAUCACAUCCUGCACAUUGCUUAGGUAGAUUGGUGUGGAUGUCUAUAUUUAUAACAUUAUCAAAAGAGUUAUUUAUUUUGGAUGAUAAGUAAGGCUCUUAUCUAAUGUGGUUCACAAUAAUAUAACAUUAACAAAAAGCUUAUUAGAUUAUUAAAAUAUAUUAAAUAAAAAACUUUUCAUUGGUACCAUGUACAGUCAUCCAAUGGUCAUAUUAGGUAAAUAUUUUUUUAAUUUUUGAAGUAUAUAUAUUUUGUGAAGAUGAGAGGGCACACGCGGAUGGUUGUGAUAUAGGUCAGCGCUGAGGUGUGG